RNAcentral lists this long non-coding RNA (1167 nucleotides) under Anas platyrhynchos (mallard). RNAcentral's name for it is "lncRNA (ENSAPLG00020002012.1)". The record is from RNAcentral. Lineage: Eukaryota; Metazoa; Chordata; Aves; Anseriformes; Anatidae.
GUGGGUUAGUCACCAAAUGAACAGCCUGUUCUGAAGACAUUCUUGAGUUGUGACUUUGUGUGGGUGACUGUGUUGGUCCUUAGCUCUUAUUCUGACAGCUGACUGCUGUUAUGUUGUUCUGGGAAGGCUGCAUGCAAGCGGACACUUGAAGGAAAAAGUCUUAAGGUUCUUUAGACAUACUCUGACGCAACUGCUGGAGCGCCAGGAUUUUGUUACCAGCUGAUUAGCUGUAGUUUACACAGGGAGGAUUGCCAAGUUUACAUUGCUGUCUUUUAAAAUUGUAAUGGAGCUGGCCGCGGUGUAGCAGAAGGAUCAUUAGAGAUGGGAGCUUGCAGCUUGGAGCUGACAUCUUGCAGCUGUGGAAUAUCAUUCUGAACCGUGCUGCAUAUUUUAGUUCUGGAGUGCUUGGGGCUGUGAAGUACUAUUGCCUAAGGCCAUACAGAUGAGGCACGGGGGUCCAGCCACCUGUGUAGCAUUUUCAAGAGCGGGAGACUUCUUUGCCUCUGGAGGUUCUGAUGAACAGGUGAUGGUAUGGAAGACCAAUUUUGAUGCAGCAGACUAUGGUGAAGUGCUGAAAACACAGAAGUCUGGCUCUAGUGUGGAUGGGACCUAUCACAGUCUGGUAGGUCAGCAUGCAGAAAUUCCAUAAGGUUCCUUUCUGGAACAUUUCCUACAACUUGAAAACCAUGUGACUUGAUUUCAGGUGUUUGAGCUACAGAGCUGUCUUUUUCCUUGGUAUUAAUUUGAGUUGUAAGAUGUCUGUUAUUUCCCAGUUUGGUGUUGUUUCUGGUUUAUUUAGCUAUACUUACCUCAUAGGAAUAUUACAUAUAGAGAGAAAUAAAUUUAGUGCAUGCGCAUGCAUUUUUAUUAGCAUUAGCAUUUAGGAAUGUGUGGUAGGCUUGGACAAUGUUAUACACCUCCAUCUCUCCUUGCCCACCCACCCCCAAAAAAUAAAAAACAUGAAAAGCACGGGUGUAACAGGUAAAAGCAGAAAGCAAGCAAGCAAGCUGAAAAUAGAUGUUCAGAAUAUCUUUUCAUUGAGAGCUAACAAAGACUAAAGAAACCUCUGCGGAGAGACGUAAUGCAUGGGAGAAAUAGGUGACACGUUGUAUUAGAGCUUUGUUCCUGCCUAUUUGGAGACAUCAGUUCACAUCCAUUCCCUGAACC